This 1289-nucleotide long non-coding RNA is filed under the name Junco hyemalis (dark-eyed junco). RNAcentral's name for it is "lncRNA (ENSJHYG00000016218.1)". Lineage: Eukaryota; Metazoa; Chordata; Aves; Passeriformes; Passerellidae. The record is from RNAcentral.
AUAUUAGCUGCCUAUGUGAAAUGUUUCUUUUUUCCUGCACAGCAGUGAUGCUCAUCUUAGAGAAUUUUCAGUUCAUGGAUACACAAACUAAGCAAAUGGAGCACUGUUGGUGCUCCAGGAAAAGCAUGAGAGGACAGAUGCACCUGCCAGUUCCUUUAACAAUCGCAUGGGAAGUCCUACACCUCUGAUGUGGUGGGUUUGCUGUGGAAAUAAGCCAGGGCUGUACCAUGGUGGGGAUCAGGAGGCUGGGAAGGACAGGGGAGAUGCUGGGGGUGCUGAGCUCCCUCAGUCACGGAGCAGGUACCUGACUGUGACCUGGCAUCCUGAGCCUGGCAGUGCACACGUGCCUCAGGAGCAGUUUGCAUUAGGUUUUCUUCUAGCUCCAGAUGGUAACAAAAAUUUGGGGGGAGAUGGAAUAGCUUGAUUGUUUCAGAAUGAGUGUUCAGAGACUGUGAAUGCACUGGAGUCUUUGUUGGAAGUCUGUGUAAAAGGCACUCGUGGAGCUGGUGUGAUGACUGGUUGCUGUGAUGGUGGUUGCCAAGAGUGCAGUUCAAUUACUAUAACUUUGUGUGAAGUGUUUUAUUUUUUUUCCCUCUGUUUGCUGUUGUUUUGGCAUUUUACUAAAACAAAAAAGAAAACUUUGAGAAACCUUUCUGUGUGUAGUUUAUUAUUUUAUUUGCUACAAGUAGUUAGGAUGCUGAAAAGGAGCAGAGGAAAAUUUUAAUUUUAUAACAGUAAGCUGGACUUGAAGCUGGCCAUGUUUCUGUUUUGUUUAUGAUUAGAGAUUAUUUUUAAAGCUGCUGUUGCAGGCAAUUGAGCUGGAUUUUUUUAGAGAUUGAUUUUGACAAUUUUUUUCACUUUAAUAUGCUGUUAUUUAGUUAAGACUUAAACAGUGUUAAGUGUAUUGCUCAGUUACCGAAGCUAUACAGCUCUAGUUGUGAUUUAAAUAUCACAGCCGUGAAGCAGAAACUACAAUUUAGUGUGUAAAUAUUAACACAAAUACAAAGCUUAUGUUUUGCUUUUGCCUCACACUCGUGCAGAUCUGUGUUUAAUAGGUCUGUGUUUGGUUUUGUAUUUGUGGAUCUGUUUUUAUCUCCAGCUUGUAAAAGAAAAGGGGGAAAAAGCAAACAUUGAAGGAGCAAUGGGAAAGCUUUCUGUUCCGCUUGACAGAAUUAACGCGGGGAGUGGCGGGCGAUUUUUAUUUCUGUAUUUUAUACAUACCUACAUUUUUGUGGACGAUGUACUGAGCCUGCAGCACUGAGGUUCUGAGGGUGUUUAGGAUGUUUCAG